GCCUUAAUGAGGUUUGGGAGGUUUUUGUUGCUUUAAUCGAACUUUUUGUGCUUUUCCAGGCUGGGAGAGCACCCAGAGGUGCUGGUGGCAGAGGGGGUGGCACCGUGUCCCCCCUGCUUGGGUGGGCAGGGAAUAUCCCGGGCUGGGGCGAAGUGGAUCCAUGGGUUUGGGAACGCGGCGAUGGAAGGGCAGAACUUCCCCUGGGAAGGGAGAAUCCUCCCCCCAAACCCAUCCCCGUCCCUCCCCAGCCCCCGGAAACUCCCCCUGGAUCCUUCCCUUCUCCGGGUGAGCGUUCCCGGAGCUGCUCCAGGUGCUGCCGGUGAUGGGAACCCCGCACAAAUCCCUGAUGGGAGCCGGGCAGGGCUGAGCUGGGAUGGGCACAGGGACACUGAGGGCGCACCUGGAAUGCUGCAGGAGGAGAGCGCGGGCUGCGGGAUCGCCGGGAUUUCCUCAGCUGCUUCCACGGCUGGGGUUAAUUAAUGACUCAUUAAAGCCCCUCCCCGAGGCUUUGCCGUCGUCGGGACUCGGGGCGCAGCAUUCCCAGAGGGACCUGGGGAGACCUUGGGGCUCCCGGGGCCUGAAGGAGUUUCAGGUGAGCCGGAGAGGGGUUGGGGACAAGGGAUGGAGGGACAGGACCCUGCCGGAGGGAUGGACGGACGGGAUUUUGGGAAGGAAUUCCCAGAGAAGCUGUGGCUGCCCCUGGAUCCCGGGAAUUUUCAGAGCCGGGUUUGGAGCGGCCCCAUCCCGCUGCUGCUCCGCAAUUCCGAGCUUUGGAUCCUUCUCCGGCUCCGUCCCCUCGCCACAAUCCCCCAAAAAACUCCCCAAAAACCCCUCGGGGCAUUCCCCACCUUUGCGUGCCAUUAACCGCAACCCCGGGCUGGAAUUGCCGAGCCCGGAGCUGCCCCGGCAGCCGCAGGGACCUGUCCCUGCUUUCUGCAGCACUUCCUUAAAUAAUCUGCUUUCCCCAACACUUAACCUCGGGAUCCUCCCCUUGGAACGCGGGCGAGUCUGGCGCGCACUCGCCGGACCACCCUGGGAAGCAAAUCCCGAUAAUUUAUGGAGAGGCUCAGCUGAGAACAGCCCUGGUGGGUUUUUUUUUUGUUGUUGUUGUUGGUUUUGUUGUUUUGUUUUUUUUUUUCCUUUCUGUCCUGACUAUAAAUUUUUUCACGGAGUUUACAGAACACCAGCAGAAGCUGGCGACGCCAGGGAGGCUUUCAGAACCUGCCUGGGCGUCGGGAUCAAAGCAGCAGCGAUCCCCUUCCUCACCGGGGGCGCGGGGAACGUCCAGGGGCCCCCAGGAUCCCAGAGCCAGCCCAGCUCUUCAAGGAUUGGAUUCAGGCGUAGCCCCGACUGAAAUCCUUGGGAAUUGCGACCGGCAGCGAGCAGCAGGUACCCGACUACAAAGAAUUGUUAAAAUCCUGGAAUUAGGGAAUUAUUUCUCCAGGAAAAGCCCUCGGAGAUCCUUGAUUCCAACCACGGACAAGGCCACCGCGUCCCCAAGUGCCACAUCCACACGGCUGCUGCUGGAAUUAGACAGGAACAGGGCCGGGAAAAGCCCUAGAAAAUAAAUAAUAAUUAUUUAAAAA
This is a long non-coding RNA of Ficedula albicollis (Collared flycatcher), 1586 nucleotides long. Lineage: Eukaryota; Metazoa; Chordata; Aves; Passeriformes; Muscicapidae. The record is from Ensembl.